CUAAAAACUAACAAUUUCCCGGAUUUUAUAGUGAGUCCGUGCAUGUGUAGAGACACAUGUUACCAUCCUUGUUUUUAGAUAAAUUAAUUCAAAGUUGACUGAUAUGCAUAGAUGUUUGUUUGAUUAGGGGUUGUAAAAUGUCCGGUGGCAAAUACUUCAGGUAUGUUCAGGACGACACAAUACAAUAGUUGUGUCUGAAAGACACAUUUUUAAUGCAUCCAUAAAAAAAAUUACGAUUAGAAACAUUCCGUCAGUUGUAAAAGUGAUUGAUAAAAUAACAUAUAUUUCGAAUGAUGUAAACGUGUGGGUUGUGUGCGUAUUUGCGUAUAAACCUUGCAAACUGUACAUUUGAAAGACCAAGUCAACAUUCUGUCAUUCGUAAAAAUUAUGCAAUAAAAAUAUCUGAGAAUAUAUAUAUGCAUCCUCUAUAAGUAAAACACAUCAGUGGUGCAUUAUGUAAAUUCCAACCAUUUUAAACGAAAUUGACUAAAAGUGUCACAAAAAAUGUGCCGUUUUUCA
This 519-nucleotide long non-coding RNA is filed under the name Mytilus galloprovincialis (Mediterranean mussel). The record is from RNAcentral. Lineage: Eukaryota; Metazoa; Mollusca; Bivalvia; Mytilida; Mytilidae.